GACGAACGCUGGCGGCGUGCCUAACACAUGCAAGUCGAACGGAACUGUUUUGAAAGAUUUCUUCGGAAUGAAUUUGAUUUAGUUUAGUGGCGGACGGGUGAGUAACGCGUGAGUAACCUGCCUUCAAGAGGGGGAUAACAUUCUGAAAAGAAUGCUAAUACCGCAUGACAUAUCGGAACCACAUGGUUUUGAUAUCAAAGAUUUUAUCGCUUGAAGAUGGACUCGCGUCCGAUUAGUUAGUUGGUGAGGUAACGGCUCACCAAGACCGCGAUCGGUAGCCGGACUGAGAGGUUGAACGGCCACAUUGGGACUGAGACACGGCCCAGACUCCUACGGGAGGCAGCAGUGGGGGAUAUUGCGCAAUGGGGGCAACCCUGACGCAGCAACGCCGCGUGAAGGAUGAAGGUUUUCGGAUUGUAAACUUCUUUUAU
RNAcentral lists this ribosomal RNA (431 nucleotides) under uncultured bacterium. RNAcentral's name for it is "bacterial SSU rRNA". It matches the Rfam family "Bacterial small subunit ribosomal RNA", at positions 28 to 439 of the family's 1533-position model. The record is from RNAcentral.